Acinonyx jubatus (cheetah) is the source of this 5518-nucleotide long non-coding RNA. RefSeq lists it as uncharacterized. The transcript has 2 exons. Lineage: Eukaryota; Metazoa; Chordata; Mammalia; Carnivora; Felidae. The record is from RefSeq and is a predicted model, not a curated record.
UGGGGGUGGGGAGCAUGUGUGCCAAGAAAGGGAACAUGGUGGUGGUGGGGGGGUUGUUUAGUAAGUGCCUUUAACCACAGAGGAGGAUGGACCUGGGGGAAGGAACAAUGGCUGAUGACAUUAGGGAACCUCAGUAAUCUUGGAGAGCAGCAUGGAGGAGGGAGCCAAUUCCGAGGUGCUGAGGAGGUAGAGUGGGUAGUUUGGAAGUGGAGGCAGGGGUGUGGGAUCCCCUUGUGAAGACAGGAUUUGUGUCUUCAUGGCAAGACAGGAGCUGGUGCAAGAGCCUCCUUAGGGGCCCUUGAGAGUAGAUGGGGCCUGCAGAAAAGGGUGACGUUCACUGCAGGAAAUUCUCGGAGGACCCGGGACAGAAGACAGGCAGCCCACACCACCCAGGGGACAUCCAGGCAGUGAGUGUGCCCCAACCCUUAAUUACCCACAGUAUUGGAGAUUUGAAUAAUUGACUCCAAAUUUUAAUUGAUUUCACUAAAUCAAAGUAAAAUUUCUUAGAGAAAAGUAUCCAAAUGUAAGUCCUACCCAAAUAGUCAUCCAGAGAAAACUUGUCAUUAUCCCAUAUCUGAAUGAUCAGCCUGGGUGGGACCCGAAAUUCAGUUUGGUCAAUACUCCAGAAAUGCUCCUAAAAUGACAAGAUAAACAGAAAAACCAAAUGACACCACUGAACUCUGAAACCUUCCCUUUGGGCCCCUCGAGACCCCAGCAUCAGGGCAUGGGGCUUUUUCGCUCCUUUGCAUCCCACCUCUAACACCCCUUUCCCUUGCCCUCACCCCUCUACCCCAUGGUAUGGAGGGCAGCCGGUCUCUCCCGGAAGUCUCAAGGCCACCAGCUGGGUGACAAAAAGGUUGCCCCAGGCAAUCCCCAAACAGAAGGUUUCCUGCCUGCCAUGUUCCUAUCAGCGUGACUUCCUGCUGCCAUUCCUGGGGUUUGGGGAGUGAUUAUUUCUGCUUCCCCACCCUGAGACCACUAGGCCAGCUCAGACUAACAGCCAGGCUGUCCGAAGCCAGCCCAUAAUAUCACCCACUGGGGUGUCACAUUUGCUCGGUGACCUUCUUCCCACCCCAUGUGGGUAUCUGAGCACAUCAUUUCACAUGAUGGUGAGGAGACUGGGACCCAGCUUUCUCCCUUUUCUCAGUGCAGGUUUAAAAUGUCCUGACAUUUUUGGCUUUUGACAAUACUACUGUUUGUUACACGCUGCGGUCAACCAAGACCCCCGGAUUCCUCGUUCUAAAGCUGGGUGGAGGGAGGACUGGGUAAGGGUCCUCUAAGUUCUCACCUCUGGUCUCUGCCUCUGCCCAAACAAUAUUAGCCAACCACAAUAACACCUCCACAGCCUAAUCACACCUACAUAAUGGGAAUUCCCCCAGUGAUUCAUGAAUUCGAAGAAAAGAUGGUUGGAUUGUUUCUUGUUUUUCAGAUGACAUUCCAUGAAUGUUGCCCUUUGCAGGGCUCAGGGGGCCUGGCUCUGAGGGGCUAGGAAGCUCGUCCUGGCCCCACUGACUGUCCUGUGUGGGGUCAGGCUCCAGGUGACACUCAGGGCGCUGAGGGGUCCAGCAGUAGAUGUGGGUAAGUAAGAAAGGCCUACUUGACCCUAAGUCCCUCCCCUUCUCGCCAGUCUGCCUCACCAUCUGGAAGUGUGCAGGAUUUGACAUCUGGUUGAACUAGUAGGUCUCUAGACAGUGCCCUUUGAAGGCAUUUCUCUCACUAGGCACAGAAAAACGCUCCCCACAGUGUCAGCACUGAGCAGGGCCAGCAGAGGGACGGGUCUGGUUAUAUGGGACAUGAUGCAGAUGCAUUUUGAUCAGGUGUGGGGAGAGAAGGUGAGCAGGCAGAACUAGGAAAAGUUUAUAGAAUGUGGGGGACAGGAAUGGGACAGGGGACCCAUAAAAGACAUCUGUUAUUAUUGCCUGCCCAGACCUCAGGCCUCCUUUUUGGAGGAAAAAAAAAAGCAUCCAGAUUUUCCUUGGGGACUGACCUCCAGUUUGGGAAGAACUAACUCCAUUCCUAACCCCAGAACCAGUCAGAGCACUGCAUCCCCAGGCCACAUUGGUUGGUUCAGGGAUGGGAACGUGACCCCAAACAGGCAGAGGCACUGAGGCCCAAUUCCAGAACUCUGGUUGGUGCCAUUGGGGAUUAGUUCUUCUCUUUCUGCUGAGGUUUCUGGGAGGGCAGGAGGUGGCUGGGGCUGCUGGCAGCCAUCUUGCCUCCACCAGAGAAGGAGGGCCACAGGAGAGGACAGAGAGAGAGGGGUGGAGAAAGUGAGAACAAUUUCUAAAGACAUCAGUUCAACUUGGGAUCCAGGCAUUCCUAAGCGAGCCAUCCCUGGACGUUUUAGUAAUGUGAACCAAUAAAUCAGUUUUUUGGUAUAAGCCAGUUUGAGUUGAGUUCUGUAACUAGAGUCUUAUCAACCACGAGGGCCCUGAACCCUCAGGGAAGUGCUUCUGAGGGAGGUAAAACAGAUGCUGAGUUUUAAUAAAGAAGGUAAAAGGAAAAUUUCACCUACUUAAAAUUUUUUUAAUGUUUAUUUACUUUGAGAGAGAGAGACAGCAGAGAGUAAGCGGGGGAGGGGUAGAGAGGGAGACAGAAUCUGAAGCAGGCUCCAGGCUCUGAGCUGUCAGCACAGAGCCUUCCACGGGUCCCAAACCCACGAACUGUGAGAUCAUGACCUGAGCCAAAGUCGGAUGCUUAACUGACUGAGCCUCCCAGGCACCCCUAAAUUUCACCUACUUUAAUAUUUCACCUGUUUGGUUAACGAGUCAAACAGUUCUGCUUAUCGUGGGAAGAAAUCAGUCUCCCUGUGAUAUAAAAACACACUUAGGUGGUUGCCUAUAUUAAUACAAGACCCCCGGAUCUACCCUUUACUAGAUCUUUCACCCUGCUGCCAACAUGUUUGGGAAGGACAGUUGUGUUCCAGAUACUUCCUAAUUGCACAAAUAGCUGUCCUAGCUUUGUGAGCCUGGGCAAGUAUCUGCACCUCUGUGGGUCCCAGGUUCCCCAUCUGUAUCACAAGAGAGCUGGACCCAUGACCCCUAAGGGGCUGAGCAGCUCCUACAUGCCCUGUAUCUGUCCAUGACACCCACUUCCCAUGUGCCUAUUUCAGAACUCACUUUUUUAGCAAUGAUACAGAGUUGUUCAGCUGGGAGGUAGUCAAAUGGGAAAACAAAUCUCCAGUUAAAAUUCCCUUCACCAUCCAAGGACCUGUAAUGGACAUCUGUUUUCUGUUUGUUUUCUUCACUGCCAGGAAUCCAGCUGAAAAGCAGAAGCAAACAGACUUAGCUUCACGGGAUUGACAGGUGGUGGCUUUGCCAUGAAUAUGAAGCAUUACCAAGGGUGUUGGAAAAAAGCCUGGGGCUUGGUCAGGAAUUCCUACCUAAAUCUUGGCUCUGUCAUGUACCAGCUCUGUCGACAGAGCUCUGGCACCAUGCCCCUCCCCUGUAAUGUGGGGCUGCUGACCUCUGCCCUGCCCUGCUGAUAGGCUGACCAUGGAAUGAGAUGGUGGCAGCCACAGAGAGCCUCACGUGGAUACCACACAGAUGCUACGGUCAGAUGGCCUGGGUUCGAAUCCUGACUCCACCUCUUGCCAGCUGGGCACAUUAGACUCUUCCUCCCUGUGCCUCAGUUUCUUCUGUUGUCAAAUGGGGAUGAACAAUAGCACCCCAGAGUUGUGAAGUUGAGAUGUUUCAUAUAAACGUCUCCGGAGGGUGCAUGCACCCAGGAAAAGUUCAGCAGUUAUUAGCUUUUAUUAAAUGUGGAUGCAGCCGGUAGCUGAAAAAUCUGGGUCCUAUUUAGAGGUGACUUGGAUGUGCCCUCUCCUUGAGAAGGACCUCAUCUCCUUGAAGAGAUAGAUCGGUGUAGCAGCCCAGAAACAAGUCUGAUGUGGUAAUGGUGGAGAAACUAAUGCUUUUUAAAGAGUCUUCAGGAACAGAAGACGGAGGGGCAUUUGGACCCCAUCAUUUUCUGCCCCCUCCUCAGUUUUGGUAACAGGCACAUUAAUACAUUCACUGGACCAAAAUGGUGGAAUUAGAAUGUCCCAGAGAACAAGCACAAACUGGAUUCGGGGAGUGAGAACCAACACGUGGCUACAGGUGAGUCACUGCCCGUCCUGCUGGUCUGCAACCCACAAUCGUAUUGGACUUCUGGGUCUUGUCCCCUCCUCCUUCCUGGGGCCCUGGCCCCCUUGACCUCCCAGGCUCAGAGCAGAUCUCUCUAACAGAAGCCCAUCUUAUGACUUGGCUUUAUUUUCUUCAUGGCGCUUUUCACUUGCAUUUGUGACCUUACGUGUUUACUGCCUGCUCUGCUGACGAGAAUAUGUGUCUAGUUCCUAGUCACGGUCCUGGGGCCUAGAACAGAGCUGGGCACAUGUCACAUCCUUAACUCAAAAGCCGUGGAGAAACAAAGGACAGAGAAACGUUUAGAAAUGUUCGUUACCUGCCGAAAACCGGGUUGAGGGUGUUGGGGAUGUAGUGGUCUCGAUCUUCAAUUACUUUUUUGCCCAGUGUUAUUUUUAUGUAAGGGUCACACUGUGGGGACAAAACAGAUGGCAUGCUGUGUCACCGUCGGGUGCAAGUUCAAGGCAGUUUCCAGGGCAGACUCAGGUAGCCUCCACACCCGCUCCCACACUGACGAAAAGGUGGCGUCCGCGCCUCAGUUGAGGUCUGAGCAACACGGCCCUUGGUGCAGCAGACCGCCAGCCGCCUUCAGAGAAGUGGUGAGGGGUGAAGGGGCGGCGGCAGGGAAGAGGCACCGCGCAAAUCUCCUCGAGGUCACAUUUGUAAAAUGAGAAGCAUGAACCAGAGGAACCAAAGCCCCUUCAAGCUUUUGGAUAAAUCCCCAUUGGGACAGUCCUCCUGAAUACAUUGCUUGGAUAGAGUAUCUUUCCCCUAGUGAGAUAACAGACGCCCCAAAAGAAAGAACAUGACAAUUAUUGUGGCUGAUGACUGUAAUUAUCUUGCUACAGGAGAAGGCCCCACACCCAAACUCUUACCAGGCCAUUGUUGUCUUGGGGCUGGAGCUCUAAGCCUCGAACAAUGUAAAUCCUAACCGUGCAUUCCUGUGGGACGCUGUCAGGUAAUUCCCGAAACUGCCUGGGAGGGGCCGGCACGCUGGGGUCAUCCGACAGGGAGUAGAUUCUAAAGGAGCCCUAAGAGAGAGAUACACAGAUAUCCUCACAAGGCCCCUGGUGACCCGGGCGGAGGACUCCUGCCUUCCCCUGCCACGUACAUUCUGGAGCAGCCACAGGGGCUGCCUUUUCGUGAAGGGAACAGUGUCUAUUACACUAUACACGUUUCCAGUAGGGAAGGUAAAAUGAUGAUAAAAUAAGUAUUUAACUAAUUACAGAGAAGAAAAGGCAGGACAGAAACAGGAAGACCAGGCACAAAUCGAGGCCAGAGCUGGACCGGUAUGGUGGCAAAGGAGGUGGUGAGGAGUAAAACCCUGCACAUAUUUUGAAGAUAGGAAUCAAAGUGAUUAUUUUUUAUUUAUUUUUUAUUUUUAUUUAAAACAAUUU